This 421-nucleotide ribosomal RNA is filed under the name Cryptocercus wrighti. RNAcentral describes it as "partial 16S ribosomal RNA". The record is from RNAcentral. Lineage: Eukaryota; Metazoa; Arthropoda; Insecta; Blattodea; Cryptocercidae.
UUACGCUGUUAUCCCUAAGGUAAUUUAGUCUUAUAAUCACUAAAAAUGGAUCAAAAAUAUAUAAAUAAAUAUAAGAAAAUAAAAAGAGUUAUAUUAAUCUUCCCAUCACCCCAACAAAAUUCAAAUAAUACUAAAAAUUUUAUCCCACAAAAAAUAAAAAUUAAAUUAAACUCUAUAGGGUCUUCUCGUCCCAAAAAAAUAUCUAGGCAUUUUAACCUAAAAUUUAAAUUCAACAAAAUAAUAAUUUAAGAAAGCAAAUACCUCGUCAAAUCAUUCAUACCAGACCCCAAUUAAGAGACUACUGAUUAUGCUACCUUUGCACAGUUAAAAUACUGCGGCCAUUUAAUUAAUUACCAGCGGGCAGACCCUACUUAUUAUAUAGAAAACAAACUCAACAAGAGAUGUUUUUGUUAAACAGGCG